RNAcentral lists this ribosomal RNA (253 nucleotides) under uncultured bacterium. Its description in RNAcentral is "partial 16S ribosomal RNA". It matches the Rfam family "Bacterial small subunit ribosomal RNA", at positions 524 to 776 of the family's 1533-position model. The record is from RNAcentral.
UACGAAGGGGGCAAGCGUUACUCGGAAUUAUUGGGCGUAAAGCGUGCGUAGGCUGUGUUAUAAGUUAUAGGUGAAAUCCUUGGGCUUAACCCAAGAACUGCCUGUAAAACUUUAUCACUUGAGUACUGGAGAAGGUAGAAAAAUUCUUGAUGUAGGGGUGAAAUCCGUAGAUAUCAAGAGGAAUACCAAAGGCGAAAGCAUCUAUCUAGACAGUUACUGACGCUGAGGUACGAAGGCGUGGGGAGCAAACAGG